Molecule: ribosomal RNA, 115 nt
Filed under: Scophthalmus maximus (turbot)
Lineage: Eukaryota; Metazoa; Chordata; Actinopteri; Pleuronectiformes; Scophthalmidae
Source: RNAcentral
UUUUAUGGCCACCCCACCUGUUUCAAGCCUGAUCUCCUUUGAUCACCGGAGCUAAGAUGGUUUGGGUCUGGUUAGUACUUUGAUGGGAGACCACAAAUACCUGGAGCUGUAAUCU